ACGGAGGAUCCGAGCGUUAUCCGGAUUUAUUGGGUUUAAAGGGUGCGUAGGUGGUUUGAUAAGUCAGCGGUGAAAGUUUGCAGCUUAACUGUAAAAAUGCCGUUGAAACUGUCGGACUUGAGUGUAAAUGAGGUAGGCGGAAUGCGUGGUGUAGCGGUGAAAUGCAUAGAUAUCACGCAGAACUCCGAUUGCGAAGGCAGCUUACUAAGCUACAACUGACACUGAAGCACGAAAGCGUGGGGAUCAAACAG
Molecule: ribosomal RNA, 251 nt
Filed under: uncultured prokaryote
Description: partial 16S rRNA
Rfam family: Bacterial small subunit ribosomal RNA
Source: RNAcentral